This 528-nucleotide ribosomal RNA is filed under the name Triticum aestivum (bread wheat). Its description in RNAcentral is "partial small subunit ribosomal RNA". The record is from RNAcentral. Lineage: Eukaryota; Viridiplantae; Streptophyta; Magnoliopsida; Poales; Poaceae.
UAUGACCGGCCAAACACAACUCCUGCCGUGGUUUCUACCCCACCAGGUCCACCACCUUCUCCCUCUAGCGCCGCAUCCAACUCUAGCGACCCAUCUCCUCCGGUUGUAGUUCACAGGCCUCCGUCACCAUCUAAUACCCAUACCAUGGUCACUCGAGCGAAACGUGGUCUCUUCCAGCCCAUCGACCAUCUCAACCUUCAUGUUUCCCACUCCACUCCUUCUCCUAUUCCUAAAACAUACCGGGGAGCACUACAUGACCCGCACUGGCGUCGUGCUAUGAACGAGGAAUUUGAUGCUCUUGUUGCUAACCGGACGUGGUCUCUUGUUCCACGUCCUCCUCGUGCUCAUGUUGUUUCAGGAAAGUGGAUCUUCAAACAUAAAUUUCACUCGGACGGCAGCCUUGCACGGUACAAGGCGCGAUGGGUCGUACGUGGCUACUCUCAACAACCAGGCAUUGACUUCGAUGAGACUUUUAGCCCUGUUGUGAAGCCCACCACGAUCCGUAUUGUUCUCAGUCUUGCCGUCUCC